UGCGGGGUAGAGCAGUGGUAGCUCGGCAGGCUCAUAACCUGCAGGUCGCGGCGUUCAAUUCCCGCCCCCGCAA
Molecule: transfer RNA, 73 nt
Filed under: Hyphomicrobium sp.
Lineage: Bacteria; Pseudomonadati; Pseudomonadota; Alphaproteobacteria; Hyphomicrobiales; Hyphomicrobiaceae
Also listed under: 7 other names
Description: tRNA-Met
Rfam family: tRNA
About the family: Transfer RNA (tRNA) molecules are approximately 80 nucleotides in length. Their secondary structure includes four short double-helical elements and three loops (D, anti-codon, and T loops).
Source: RNAcentral